GUGUACGACCAUGCUACCCUAAAAAAGCCCAAUCCCGUCUGAUCUCGGAAGCUAAGCAGGGUCGGGCAUGGUUAUUAGUACUUGGAUGGGAGACCACCUGGGAAGACCAGGUGCUGUAGGCG
RNAcentral lists this ribosomal RNA (122 nucleotides) under Pteropus alecto (black flying fox). The record is from RNAcentral. RNAcentral also lists the same sequence under 1 other name. Lineage: Eukaryota; Metazoa; Chordata; Mammalia; Chiroptera; Pteropodidae.